RNAcentral lists this ribosomal RNA (467 nucleotides) under uncultured Bacteroides sp. Its description in RNAcentral is "bacterial SSU rRNA". It matches the Rfam family "Bacterial small subunit ribosomal RNA", at positions 34 to 490 of the family's 1533-position model. Lineage: Bacteria; Pseudomonadati; Bacteroidota; Bacteroidia; Bacteroidales; Bacteroidaceae. The record is from RNAcentral.
CGCUAGCCCUUGGCUUCACCCCUGCAAGUCGAGGGGCAGCGGGAUUGAAGCUUGCUUCAAUUGCCGGCGACCGGCGCACGGGUGAGUAACACGUAUCCCACCUUCCGUUUACUCGGGGAUAGCCUUUCGAAAGAAAGAUUAAUACCCGAUAGUAUGGUGGGAUUGCAUGAUAGCACCAUUAAAGAUUCAUCGGUAAACGAUGGGGAUGCGUUCCAUUAGGUAGUAGGCGGGGUAACGGCCCACCUAGCCUUCGAUGGAUAGGGGUUCUGAGAGGAAGGUCCCCCACAUUGGAACUGGGACACGGUCCAAACUCCUACGGGAGGCAGCAGUGAGGAAUAUUGGUCAAUGGGCGAGAGCCUGAACCAGCCAAGUAGCGUGAAGGAUGAAGGUCCUACGGAUUGUAAACUUCUUUUAUAAGGGAAUAAAACGCUCCCCGUGUGGAGCCUUGUAUGUACCUUAUGAAUAAG